Molecule: ribosomal RNA, 425 nt
Filed under: uncultured bacterium
Lineage: Bacteria
Description: bacterial SSU rRNA
Rfam family: Bacterial small subunit ribosomal RNA
Source: RNAcentral
GUGGGGAAUAUUGGACAAUGGGCGAAAGCCUGAUCCAGCCAUGCCGCGUGAGUGAUGAAGGCCUUAGGGUUGUAAAGCUCUUUCGCCGGUGAAGAUAAUGACGGUAACCGGAAAAGAAGCCCCGGCUAACUUCGUGCCAGCAGCCGCGGUAAUACGAAGGGGGCUAGCGUUGUUCGGAAUUACUGGGCGUAAAGCGCGCGUAGGCGGGUAGAUAAGUUAGAGGUGAAAUCCCAGGGCUCAACCCUGGAACUGCCUUUAAUACUGUCUAUCUGGAGUAUGGAAGAGGUGAGUGGAAUUCCGAGUGUAGAGGUGAAAUUCGUAGAUAUUCGGAGGAACAUCAGUGGCGAAGGCGGCUCACUGGUCCAUUACUGACGCUGAGGUGCGAAAGCGUGGGGAGCAAACAGGAUUAGAAACCCGAGUAGUCC